AUUGAACGCUGGUGGCAGGCCUAACACAUGCAAGUCGAGCGGAUGGACCGUGCUUGCUUCUGGAUUCCGCGGCGGGCGCGGGAGUAAUGCCUAGGAAUCUGCCUCCCAGUGGUGGGUGACGUCCGGAAACGGGUGCUAAUACUGCAGACGACCUGCGCGAGCAAGUUGGGGAUCUUCGGACCUCACGCGCUCAGAUGAGUCUAGGUCGGAUUAGCUAGUUGGUGGGGUAAGGGCCUACCAAGGCGACGAUCCGUAACUGGUCUGAGAGGAUGAUCAGUCACACUGGAGCUGGAACACGGUCCAGACUCCUACGAGAGGCAGCAGUGGGGAAUAUUGGACAAUGGGCGAAAGCCUGAUCCAGCCAGGCCGCGUGUGUGAAGAAGGUCUUCGGAUUGUAAAGCACUUUAUGUUGGGAGAAAGGGCAGUAAGCUAAUACCUAGCUGUUUUGACGUUACCGGCAGAAUAAGCACCGGCUAACUUCGUG
RNAcentral lists this ribosomal RNA (484 nucleotides) under uncultured bacterium. RNAcentral's name for it is "partial 16S ribosomal RNA". It matches the Rfam family "Bacterial small subunit ribosomal RNA", at positions 30 to 507 of the family's 1533-position model. The record is from RNAcentral.